UCAGGACGAACGCUGGCGGCGUGCUUAACACAUGCAAGUCGAACGGAAAGGCCCAGCUUGCUGGGUACUCGAGUGGCGAACGGGUGAGUAACACGUGGGUGAUCUGCCCCUGACUUUGGGAUAAGCCUGGGAAACUGGGUCUAAUACCGGAUAUGACCAUGGCCUGCAUGGGUUGUGGUGGAAAGCUUUUGCGGUUGGGGAUGGGCCCGCGGCCUAUCAGCUUGUUGGUGGGGUAAUGGCCUACCAAGGCGACGACGGGUAGCCGACCUGAGAGGGUGAUCGGCCACACUGGGACUGAGACACGGCCCAGACUCCUACGGGAGGCAGCAGUGGGGAAUAUUGCACAAUGGGCGCAAGCCUGAUGCAGCGACGCCGCGUGAGGGAUGACGGCCUUCGGGUUGUAAACCUCUUUCACCAGGGACGAAGCGCGAGUGACGGUACCUGGAGAAGAAGCACCGGCCAACUACGUGCCAGCAGCCGCGGUAAUACGUAGGGUGCGAGCGUUGUCCGGAAUUACUGGGCGUAAAGAGCUCGUAGGCGGUUUGUCGCGUCGUCUGUGAAAUUCUGCAGCUUAACUGCAGGCGUGCAGGCGAUACGGGCAGACUUGAGUACUACAGGGGAGACUGGAAUUCCUGGU
Molecule: ribosomal RNA, 637 nt
Filed under: Gordonia soli
Lineage: Bacteria; Bacillati; Actinomycetota; Actinomycetes; Mycobacteriales; Gordoniaceae
Description: bacterial SSU rRNA
Rfam family: Bacterial small subunit ribosomal RNA
Source: RNAcentral